RNAcentral lists this ribosomal RNA (579 nucleotides) under uncultured archaeon. RNAcentral's name for it is "bacterial SSU rRNA". It matches the Rfam family "Archaeal small subunit ribosomal RNA", at positions 280 to 859 of the family's 1478-position model. The record is from RNAcentral.
GAGCAAGAGCCCGGAGAUGGAUUCUGAGACACGAAUCCAGGCCCUACGGGGUGCAGCAGGCGCGAAAACUUUACAAUGCUGGAAACAGCGAUAAGGGGACCUCGAGUGCCAGGAUACAAUCCUGGCUGUCGUAAUGCCUAAAAAGCAUUGCAUAGCAAGGGCCGGGCAAGACCGGUGCCAGCCGCCGCGGUAACACCGGCGGCUCGAGUGGUAACCGCUAUUAUUGGGUCUAAAGGGUCUGCAGCCGGCUGACUAAGUCUCUUGGGAAAUCUGACAGCUUAACUGUCAGGCUUUCAGGAGAUACUGAUCGGCUCGAGACCGGGAGAGGUGAGAGGUACCUCAGGGGUAGGGGUGAAAUCUUGUAAUCCUUGAGGGACCACCAGUGGCGAAGGCGUCUCACCAGAACGGAUCUGACGGCAAGGGACGAAAGCUAGGGGCACGAACCGGAUUAGAUACCCGGGUAGUCCUAGCCGUAAACGAUACUCGCUAGGUGUCGGCCACGGUGCGACCGUGGUCGGUGCCGUAGGGAAGCCGUGAGGCGAGCCACCUGGGAAGUACGGCCGCAAGGCUGAAACUUAA